GUGGGGAAUAUUGCACAAUGGGGGAAACCCUGAUGCAGCGACGCCGCGUGAGCGAUGAAGUAUUUCGGUAUGUAAAGCUCUAUCAGCAGGGAAGAAAAUGACGGUACCUGACUAAGAAGCCCCGGCUAACUACGUGCCAGCAGCCGCGGUAAUACGUAGGGGGCAAGCGUUAUCCGGAUUUACUGGGUGUAAAGGGAGCGUAGACGGCAUGGCAAGCCAGAUGUGAAAGCCCGGGGCUCAACCCCGGGACUGCAUUUGGAACUGUCAGGCUAGAGUGUCGGAGAGGAAAGCGGAAUUCCUAGUGUAGCGGUGAAAUGCGUAGAUAUUAGGAGGAACACCAGUGGCGAAGGCGGCUUUCUGGACGAUGACUGACGUUGAGGCUCGAAAGCGUGGGGAGCAAACAGGAUUAGAAACCCUAGUAGUCCC
Molecule: ribosomal RNA, 426 nt
Filed under: uncultured bacterium
Lineage: Bacteria
Description: bacterial SSU rRNA
Rfam family: Bacterial small subunit ribosomal RNA
Source: RNAcentral